CCUACGGGAGGCAGCAGUGGGGAAUAUUGCACAAUGGGCGCAAGCCUGAUGCAGCCAUGCCGCGUGUAUGAAGAAGGCCUUCGGGUUGUAAAGUACUUUCAGCGGGGAGGAAGGGAGUAAAGUUAAUACCUUUGCUCAUUGACGUUACCCGCAGAAGAAGCACCGGCUAACUCUGUGCCAGCAGCCGCGGUAAU
Molecule: ribosomal RNA, 194 nt
Filed under: uncultured Pseudomonadota bacterium
Lineage: Bacteria; Pseudomonadati; Pseudomonadota
Description: uncultured proteobacterium partial 16S ribosomal RNA
Rfam family: Bacterial small subunit ribosomal RNA
Source: RNAcentral